RNAcentral lists this ribosomal RNA (253 nucleotides) under uncultured bacterium. RNAcentral's name for it is "partial 16S ribosomal RNA". It matches the Rfam family "Bacterial small subunit ribosomal RNA", at positions 524 to 776 of the family's 1533-position model. The record is from RNAcentral.
UACGUAGGGUGCGAGCGUUAAUCGGAAUUACUGGGCGUAAAGCGUGCGCAGGCGGUUUUGUAAGCCAGAUGUGAAAUCCCCGGGCUUAACCUGGGAAUGGCAUUUGGGACUGCAAGGCUGUAGUGCGGCAGAGGAGACUGGAAUUCCUGGUGUAGCAGUGAAAUGCGUAGAUAUCAGGAGGAACACCGAUGGCGAAGGCAGGUCUCUGGGCUGACACUGACGCUCAUGCACGAAAGCGUGGGGAGCAAACAGG